AGUGAACGCUGGCGGUAGGCCUAACACAUGCAAGUCGAACGGCAGCACAGUAAGAGCUUGCUCUUACGGGUGGCGAGUGGCGGACGGGUGAGGAAUACAUCGGAAUCUACUUUUUCGUGGGGGAUAACGUAGGGAAACUUACGCUAAUACCGCAUACGACCUACGGGUGAAAGCAGGGGAUCUUCGGACCUUGCGCGAUUGAAUGAGCCGAUGUCGGAUUAGCUAGUUGGCGGGGUAAAGGCCCACCAAGGCGACGAUCCGUUGCUGGUCUGAGAGGAUGAUCAGCCACACUGGAACUGAGACACGGUCCAGACUCCUACGGGAGGCAGCAGAGGGGAAUAUUGGACAAUGGGCGCAAGCCUGAUCCAGCCAUACCGCGUGGGUGAAGAAGGCCUUCGGGUUGUAAAGCCCUUUUGUUGGGAAAGAAAAGCAGCAGGUUAAUACCCCGCUGUUCUGACGGUACCCAAAGAAUAAGCACCGGCUAACUUCGUG
RNAcentral lists this ribosomal RNA (492 nucleotides) under uncultured bacterium. RNAcentral describes it as "partial 16S ribosomal RNA". It matches the Rfam family "Bacterial small subunit ribosomal RNA", at positions 29 to 507 of the family's 1533-position model. The record is from RNAcentral.